RNAcentral lists this transfer RNA (73 nucleotides) under Cordylochernes scorpioides. RNAcentral's name for it is "tRNA-Thr". Lineage: Eukaryota; Metazoa; Arthropoda; Arachnida; Pseudoscorpiones; Chernetidae. The record is from RNAcentral.
GUCCAGGGAUGGGAAUCGAACCCACAGUGUUCUGUUAACCAGGCAGAUGCCAUGUCCACUAGGCUACCCUGGA